AAGACAAGAAAAGGAAAAGUGCUAGUAUUAUUUGGUUAAGUGCAGGCGAAAAAGAUGAGUCUUUAGAUGUUUCUUGAAAAUGAGUAAAGACUCAGGUAUUUGAGUAAAUGAAAACACAAUACUUAGAUUUCAAUGUGAAUUCCCCCACAGAACUCUCUCAUACUCCAUGUUCUUUGAAUAUAAAUUCCAUUGUCGUCUGCUUGCAAUUGAUUAUGUACGGAGCCCAGGGUGUCACCUGUAGGAGAAAUAAAUGCAGUCCAUUCCCUCGGAUUUGUAAACUGUACUCUCGGAUUUAUGCAGCAAGCUCCUAGGGAGCCUGCGUGUUAACUUACAGUUUUAUUGAAUAUUAUUAUGUGGAAUAGGCCUAUAGCAAAGUGUCUUAAGUGAUUCUCUAUCAAUUGUAGUAAGAGGUGUAAUACAAAGAUUUUAUCAGAAAUCAGAAAAAUUUGCAUCAAAAUCGUGUUUAAUUUGUGAUAAUCUUAGCACCUGAUUAUUAUUGUAUAAUAAACCCGGCAUUGUGACUGACUGGAGUAAUUUGUUCCUCUUUUGUAAGUCAUUUCAGUUAGAAAGCAAAGGAAUGACCAAAUGGAAUAACUGGCACAUUAUUUGUUUUGCUUCUUUUGAAACUAUCCUCUCUUUUUUUUUUGAAAAUUCAGGUAAUUUUGUAUUAUUAUUUUGAGCGUUUAUUUUAGGCUAUAAAACACGGGCGGCGGGGUCUUGUCCUACUGGUGAUUAAUGUAAAAUAAACACUAAAUACAGUGUUGGGAAGUCGUGGCCUAGUGGUUAGAGAGUUUGACUCUUAAUCCUAAAUGAGUCUCGGGCUGGCAACACCAUGACUGAGGUGCACUCGGGGACGGAUUGUUUUUUUUCUCCUACAGUAGACUUCUCUGGCUCUGUAAUUAUGGGAUAUGGUAGGGUUGGAAACGGAGGGUGCAUUUGCUUUAGAAUUACGACAGCCUUUUUUGUGCCGCAGUGACGCAAUCGGGUGCAUCCUGAAUUGGAACAACUUAUGUUGUGCCACAACUGUUUUUUAAUUGUGCACACUUCACAUUGGGAUAGACUUCAUCACGCUGCUGUAUUCACACUUCAAAUACGUACUUCCCUUUGGGACACAGCCUGCCUGUUGUGUAGCUAUAACCAUUUUUUUCAUUUUAUAAUUUUUAGCAAUUUAUUCCUUAAACAUCAAUUACAGCUUGACAAUGACAUCUCAUGCUGAUCACAAGUUCGACUUAUUGUCUGCUGAGGCAUGGCAUUCUCAUCUUCUUGAAGGGCUGCCCUGAGGUCAUUGAGGUUCUGGGGUGUAGGAUUACGACCCUCUACACGACGACUCAGCUGACGGUUUUCUAUGGGAUUCAAAUCUGGAGAAAGUGCAAGCCAUUCCAUUUGAGGUACCCCAGCCUCCAGCAGCCAUUCCUUGAAAGAUGAAACCAGGCCUGUGUUGUUCAUGCAGAGGCACGAUGACUGGAUUAAUGUUAUUCAGCAUUGAUGGCCAUCACUUCUGCUCAGUGAGAAUCAACUUUCAACAGAGAACAGGACUGAGGCCCACUGGUUCCUCAUCUAGCAUUUUAGAUGAAUAUUCAUGACUUUUUGUGAGUAAUAUAGUUGUUCUGAGUUUGGUGAAAUUAUCUCAUUCCAUUUUAGAUAUAUAUUCCGACAACCAUUAUUUUUUCACCUGCUGUUGCUGUUAUUUCAGUAAUUCAACUCAACUGGUGAACCUCUUGUAUUAAAUAAAUUCAAUGCACACAGACUGAA
Long non-coding RNA from Carassius auratus (goldfish), 1752 nucleotides. RefSeq lists it as uncharacterized. Lineage: Eukaryota; Metazoa; Chordata; Actinopteri; Cypriniformes; Cyprinidae. The record is from RefSeq and is a predicted model, not a curated record. The transcript is spliced from 2 exons.